RNAcentral lists this ribosomal RNA (345 nucleotides) under uncultured Pseudomonadota bacterium. RNAcentral describes it as "bacterial SSU rRNA". It matches the Rfam family "Bacterial small subunit ribosomal RNA", at positions 29 to 351 of the family's 1533-position model. The record is from RNAcentral. Lineage: Bacteria; Pseudomonadati; Pseudomonadota.
AACUAACGCUGGCGGCGUGCCUAACACAUGCAAGUCGCACGAGAAAGUUGGCUUCGGCCGAUGAGUACAGUGGCGCACGGGUGAGUAACGCGUGGAUAAUCUGCCCUUUAGUUGGGGAAUAACGUACCGAAAGGUGCGCUAAUACCGAAUAAUACUGCACAACUACUGUUGUGUAGUCAAAGAAGGCCUCUGUUUACAAGCUUUUGCUGAAGGAUGAGUCCGCGUACCAUUAGCUAGUUGGUAGGGUAAUGGCCUACCAAGGCGACGAUGGUUAGCUGGUCUGAGAGGAUGAUCAGCCACACUGGAACUGGAGACACGGUCCAGACCUCCGUACGGGGAGGCACG